AUGCACUGUGAAAGAAAUUAUGUUGUAGAGACCCAAACCUUGGAAGUUUUUAUAUCUGGAGAGUUCCAAAGAGUGCCACUUCCGGUUCCAGAGGUCUUGGAUUUGAAAUGGACGAUCAAAGAGUCAAAAAUCGUUCUUUCUGGAGCCAUGGAACAUGAAACAUGGGGACUUAAAAGUGUCACCUCAGGAAUUAACAAACACAAAAAUGUGUGCCCAGCCCCAAACCACUUUCUGAGAGGUAAGAUAAAUUGUAGGAACCUGUCCACAUCACAGCACAUGUAAUCGAAUAGACUUUGAAAAGGCAUGAUGUGACUUGAGGAUCCUAGAUCCUGGAUCUUUUCUGCCUGCCAAACGUGUGGCCUUUCUGUGCAAAGGAGGUGUCCUGCUAGAGCCACCAGGAGGCCACUCACAUUAAACACGAGAGUACUGUCCUGGCUUUCAGGUUCUGAUUGCAUGAAGUCAGCCCAUGAGUACAUGGGGCUAAAAUCACUGAAUGUAACCAAGGGAAGGUAAUAGUACUGUUGUUUGGACAUGUAUUGAACAUCAAUAAUGCAUUACACUCCAUCUGCAACACAGAAUUAGAUGCUGCCCCUGACUAGGAAUUCAUUAAUCUACGUGGAUAUACAGGCAACUAGGGGAUGCCUUGACAACAAGAAGGGAAACAUAGAAACUGUUUAGAUUAUCGACUUUUUAAAUAAAUGAAUCGUCUUUAGAGACUGUGGUUGUUGGGAGAAGAAAAACUUUAAGACAGAUCCUGAACUAAGUCAGACAGUGAGAACACAGGUUCUGUAUCCACACCAGAAUUCCCGAAAGUUCUGCCAGACUUUAAGCAAAGUGAGUAGAAGAACAUCCAGGCUUUUUAAAAUUAGGUUAUGAUUCACUCUACCAAAGUUCCAUUCAUUUUACUAAGGAAUUUACUUCUAAAUUCUUGCAAAUAACCUUAGCUCUUUGAAUGCAUUUCUAAUUGAAUUAGAAUUAUAAACACUGCAAAUUAGACUCAACUGCCAGAGACAGAAAAUUUGUACUACUCAUGUAAUUAACACACAUCCUUAGGCUCACAGGCAGUACUGACCAAGAAAUAAGAUCCUGAAUUAGGAUAACCUACCCUUAAUCUAAUGAUACCAUGCUUUUAGCUUGUUGGUCUUCAUCUCACAUUUCCUUAUGAUGCUUCAGCAUUUGUAAAGCUAUCUUCGAUUCUAAUAAAAUGAAUGUAAUGCAAGUUCAAUGAACAAUCACAAAACAUAUUGAUUGACAGGUGACUUUGGAUGUCACCUAACGAAACCUUCCUCCACAGUUGGGAAGCACCCCAGACACAUUCCUGAUAACCUCUGCUUAAGCACAUCCACUGACAGAUGUCCACUUCUCAAGGCUCUCCUGAGUCACUCAACUUCAGUGGUGUAGGAUCUCAUAUGGAACAGGCAACAUUUACAGAUGAAUAAGUAAAGUUCUAAAUUAAUGGAGGAAGAGUAAGAGGGAGAGUAUAUGUUUAUUUUAGUUAUCUCUGCUGUGCUGGAGCAUUUGGUUUUCUGACACUUCCAUUUCAAAUAUUCUAUGUAACUUCAUCUUCCUGUGAAUUCUUUCUACUAUACUACCUUCAGAUUUAUUCUCUAAAUCAAAAGAAUGAUAGCACCAAAAAUCCC
RNAcentral lists this long non-coding RNA (1640 nucleotides) under Macaca nemestrina (pig-tailed macaque). RNAcentral describes it as "lncRNA (ENSMNEG00000045660.1)". The record is from RNAcentral. Lineage: Eukaryota; Metazoa; Chordata; Mammalia; Primates; Cercopithecidae.